AUGCCCUCGUUUUCCAACUGCCCCACUUUUGUUCUAAUACACUUCUCCUCACAUCCACAAUACAAUGUAUGCCUGUUACUUCUCUCUUUCUCUCUCCCUCUAUCCUCCUUUCUUCCUCUAUCUAUUCCCUCCCCUUUUCUCCUCUCUAUCCCUCUACUAUUUCAAGCUAGAUACUGUCUCUCUGAUUGCAGUCAAUGUCCCUCUCUCUUCCUCUCUCCCUCCCUCUCUUUUCCUCCUCCGUACCAGACAGCGGCCCACUCACCUUCAUUAGGCUGUGUCUCUGCAUCUCUGCUCCCAGCCUUAAUGAGAACAGAGAGCGAGCAAAACAAAUCCAAUAAGACAAUGCAGGCAGGCGAAGCACAAACUAGGUUGCUUCGUCUGUGCUUUCCCAUUUCUCCUCCCCUCCUUUUCUCCUUCCUUUUUUGACUAAUGUAAUUUAUGCAAAGGGAAAUUAUAAAUAGCAUAUCAAUACCGACGCACUAUUACGAGUUCUGGGCAGAGCAGCACUGCUCAGCUGUCAUGGUAAGUAGGCCAGACAAGGUGUGUGUGGGAAAGGCUAGGUGUGUGGGAGCGCCCUGACAAGUGAACUCCAGAACAGUGUGUAUGUGUGUGUGUGUGUGUGUGUGUGUGUGUGUGUGUGUGUGUGUGUGUGUGUGUGUGUGUGUGUGUGUGUGUGUGUGUGUGUGUGUGUGUGUGUGUGUGUGUGUGUGUGUGUGUGUGUGUGUGUGGCGGAACCUGUCUACAGUGCCGACAAGGUCACCUCUAGAUGGAAUGAAAUAUAGAAGAAGGAAGACAGACAGGGUAAGUAGUUUUGGUUGUUAACCAGCCCUCUCUCCUUCCCUCCCUCCUUCCCUCACCUCCCUUCCUCUGAACUGGUCUCUAGUUCCAUGGGAAUGAAUGUUUGGACUCAGAGAGGAUGUGUGUUUGUUAACUGGCCCAGUAUUAUGUCUGCGGUGAGGUCCCAGGAAGGUAAAACAACUGGUGUUUUCAGUCUGUUCUUUUAUCAGAUAACCCUUUUGGAUGUUACUUUUUUCUGAAUACGGUAUUUGAAGGACUACUAGAGCUGUUUAUUUCCAGGGAAAAGUGGACAAAAAUGCUCUUGUAUGAAAUGACUAUCCAAUCGCGCAGCGUCAGGAUACAUGACGAUCAAAACAAAUGUAGCUAGUUGUGCAAGGCAUUUUAUUGAUAAAAGCAUAAGUAGCAUAUCACUCUUAAAUGUUUGCUUUCUUUUCUCCUUCGAGAAAACAUGAAGGACUCAGGUAGGAUGCACUUGUGCUUCCUUGCCAAAAGGAGGAUAUCAAGGAGGGGAAGACUGUUUGCUUACUAAGGAAUUGAUACACUCCUUGAUCACUCAACCACUUAUCGGUUCCCGUGUCACAGAGGAGAGAGGACGGAGGACAGACUUUUUCCCAAAUGAGAAAACCCCUUGAUCGAUUGAUGAACCCCCCUCCACACGCAUGCACACUUCUCUCCCUGUUGUUUUGCACUACUAACCACAUCACAAAUAGAGAUGGGCAGUAUUUAUUCAACAUGUAUUUCAAAUACUUUUGAGUAUUUUGUCAUUUGUAGUUCACCAGCCUGAACAAUAACCCAAUCUAUUUUCUAACAAUAUACUUUCGAGACCUAUAAAUUCUAUUUUUUUGUGUACUAUUUUUUAUAGUAGUUCACAAUUUUGCGGGCUCUUUUCACCCUACAUUGGUAUCAGAAGUCUGAUGGCACUAUGUGAUGAGUGUCAGUAAAAUGACUAAUAUGUAAACGUAAAAAAAAAGAACACCUGCAGGGCAUGCUGGGUAUUAUUCUAAUGAGCUCCACUCUGAAACAAGGCCAAUAAUAAUACCCAGUGUGCUUUGCAUUUGUUCAUUUUUACAUAAACAUUUACAUUUUAGUCACUUAGCAGACACUCUUAUACAGAGCGACUUAUUCAGGUAGAUUACAAAAAAACACAUCACAGAGAUAACAAGUAAAACAUUUUUUUC
Molecule: long non-coding RNA, 1976 nt
Organism: Oncorhynchus mykiss (rainbow trout)
Lineage: Eukaryota; Metazoa; Chordata; Actinopteri; Salmoniformes; Salmonidae
Source: Ensembl